RNAcentral lists this ribosomal RNA (690 nucleotides) under Gilbertella persicaria. RNAcentral's name for it is "eukaryotic LSU rRNA". It matches the Rfam family "Eukaryotic large subunit ribosomal RNA", at positions 55 to 650 of the family's 3401-position model. The record is from RNAcentral. Lineage: Eukaryota; Fungi; Mucoromycota; Mucoromycetes; Mucorales; Choanephoraceae.
GGAAAAGAAAAUAACAAUGAUUUCCUUAGUAACGGCGAGUGAACAGGAAAGAGCUCAAAGUUGGAACCCGUUUGGUUUAGCCAAACUGGAUUGUAAACUGUAGAAGUGUUUUCCUGGCACGCCUGAUGAAAAAGUCCAUUGGAACAUGGUGACAUAGAGGGUGAGAGCCCCGUAUUUCGUCAGAGCUGUUGUCUUUUGUGAUACACUUUCAAAGAGUCAGGUUGUUUGGGAAUGCAGCCUAAAUUGGGUGGUAAAUCUCACCUAAAGCUAAAUAUUGGCAAAAGACCGAUAGCGAACAAGUACCGUGAGGGAAAGAUGAAAAGAACUUUGAAAAGAGAGUUAAACAGUAUGUGAAAUUGUUAAAAGGGAACCGUUUGGAGCCAGACUGGCUUGAUUGUAAUCAAUCUAGAUUUCGAUCUGGAUGCACUUGCAGUCUAUGCCUGCCAACGACAAUUCAUUCUGGAGGAAAAAACUAGGAGGAAUGUGGCCCCUCGGGGUGUUAUAGCCUCUUAGAAAAUACUCUGGGUUGGAUUGAGGAACGCAGUGGAUGCUAUUUGGCGAAGUUGCUGAGUGCUUUUACUGGUACGUGCUAGAAUUUCUGCUUCGGGUGGUGCUAGUAUUUACCGGUGAAACUCGCUUGGUAAUCUUUUUAUCCGCUUAGGUUGUUGGCUUAAUGACUCUAAAUGACCC